RNAcentral lists this ribosomal RNA (589 nucleotides) under uncultured freshwater bacterium. Its description in RNAcentral is "bacterial SSU rRNA". It matches the Rfam family "Bacterial small subunit ribosomal RNA", at positions 8 to 607 of the family's 1533-position model. The record is from RNAcentral.
AGAGUUUGAUCCUGGCUCAGGAUGAACGCUAGCGGGAGGCCUAAUACAUGCAAGUCGAGCGGUUCAGCAAUGGAUAGCGGCAGACGGGUGCGUAACGCGUAUGAAACUUACCCUACACAGGAGGAUAGCCUUGGGAAACUGAGAGUAACCCUCCAUAGUCUUGUAAUGCCGCAUGGUAUAAUAAGUAAAACUUCGGUGGUGUAGGAUAGUCGUGCGUCCGAUUAGCUAGUUGGUGAGGUAAUGGCUCACCAAGGCGACGAUCGGUAGCUGGUCUGAGAGGAUGAUCAGCCACACGGGCACUGAGACACGGGCCCGACUCCUACGGGAGGCAGCAGUAAGGAAUAUUGGACAAUGGACGGAAGUCUGAUCCAGCCAUCCCGCGUGGAGGAAUAAGGCCCUAUGGGUUGUAAACUCCUUUAGCAGGGGAAUAAAAAGGUCAUUUAUGAUCAAUUGAAGGUACCCUGAGAAUAAGCACCGGCUAACUCCGUGCCAGCAGCCGCGGUAAUACGGAGGGUGCAAGCGUUAUCCGGAUUUACUGGGUUUAAAGGGUGCGUAGGCGGACUAUUAAGUCAAAUGUGAAAGCUUGCAG